CAGCAGCCGCGGGAAUACGUAGGGUGCAAGCGUUAAUCGGAAUUACUGGGCGUAAAGCGUGCGCAGGCGGUUUGUUAAGACAGAUGUGAAAUCCCCGGGCUCAACCUGGGAACUGCAUUUGUGACUGGCAAGCUAGAGUCUGGCAAAGGGGGGUGGAAUUCCGCGUGUAGCAGUGAAAUGCGUAGAUAUGCGGAGGAACACCGAUGGCGAAGGCAGCCCCCUGGGCCAACACUGACGCUCAUGCACGAAAGUGUGGGGAGCAAACAGGAUUAGAUACCCGCGUAGUCCCUGUCUCUUAUAC
Molecule: ribosomal RNA, 301 nt
Filed under: uncultured bacterium
Lineage: Bacteria
Description: partial 16S ribosomal RNA
Rfam family: Bacterial small subunit ribosomal RNA
Source: RNAcentral